CGCUGGGGGAGUGCAAACUGGGCAAUGCCCAUGCCCUGACACUACGACGGUGCAGACAACGUCCUGAGACUGGACAGCAUCAGUGCACAGUACAGCAGCUGCGGGUGCCUGGAGCUGAAGGAAAGCCAUAGGAGGGACUCUGUAGCCGAUUGUUAAACUCCUGUGGGCAGCUCUAGCCUGGAGCGCCCGUACCCGCGGUGGUCACAUGGUAUUCCUAAGAAAACGGAACACAUGGACUUGCUUCCUCACUAGUCUACUGCAGAUGGAUGGAAGACCGGAACAUACAAUCUCCAUGAACUCAAUGGUACUAUUCAGACUACAUUCCACGAAGUCUGGACACAACAUUGAAGACACAG
Bufo bufo (common toad) is the source of this 356-nucleotide long non-coding RNA. RefSeq lists it as uncharacterized. Lineage: Eukaryota; Metazoa; Chordata; Amphibia; Anura; Bufonidae. The record is from RefSeq and is a predicted model, not a curated record. The transcript is spliced from 3 exons.